Molecule: transfer RNA, 89 nt
Filed under: Corynebacterium pseudotuberculosis
Lineage: Bacteria; Bacillati; Actinomycetota; Actinomycetes; Mycobacteriales; Corynebacteriaceae
Description: tRNA-Leu
Source: RNAcentral
AAGUCCCCCCUCGGGCACAAAUAGUUAAUGUAUAUUAACGGAGGUAACAAUCCCGAAAGGGAUUGUUACCUCCGUUUUUCUUUACUAUU